Molecule: ribosomal RNA, 400 nt
Filed under: phytoplankton environmental sample
Lineage: Eukaryota
Description: partial small subunit ribosomal RNA
Rfam family: Eukaryotic small subunit ribosomal RNA
Source: RNAcentral
AGCUCCAAGAGCGUAUAUUAAAGUUGUUGCAGUUAAAAAGCUCGUAGUUGGAUUUCUGGUGUAAUGCGCCUGGCCCGUGGUCGUAAGGCUUAUGUGUGCCGGUGCGCGUUCACCAUCCUUCUAGUAAACGUUUCUACCCUUAACUGGGCCGGAUUCGCGAACUAGAUCUUUUACUUUGAAAAAAUUAGAGUGUUUAAAGCAGGCUUUUGCUAUGAAUACAUUAGCAUGGAAUAAUAAUCUAGGACUUCGGUUCUAUUUUGUUGGUUUCUAGUACUGGAGUAAUGAUUGAUAGGGAUAGUUGGGGGUGCUAGUAUUGGCCGGCCAGAGGUGAAAUUCUUGGAUUCGGUCAAGACUAACUUAUGCGAAAGCAUUCACCAAGGAUGUCUUCUUUAAUCAAGAA